Macrobrachium nipponense is the source of this 1148-nucleotide long non-coding RNA. RefSeq lists it as uncharacterized. NCBI's taxonomy places the organism in Eukaryota, Metazoa, Arthropoda, Malacostraca, Decapoda, Palaemonidae. The transcript is spliced from 3 exons. The record is from RefSeq and is a predicted model, not a curated record.
UACGACUGCUCACAUCCAUACGUCCUGAUUUGUUAGAUGUCGUCGCCAGAAGCGGUAGGCGUUAAAGAUUACCCAAUUAAGAAGAAUUAGGGUGGUCUUAAAAGGAAUCCAGAAGAAGAAGAGGUGGAGCCAGAAAUCAGAAAUGGGUCCAGAGUUCAGUUGGAACGAUGGAAAGAGUCGGUUAACUACUCACUUCUGGACACAUAACUUGUGUCGGUUUAAACUCUGUUUAUCCUGUGUCAUUAAGACUUGUGUGAUAGGAAAGUGAGAUUGUGUGUGUACCAACAGACAUAUUAAUUGAAUAUUGCUGAAAAGCAGGGCGCAUAGUGAUUAGUGCUAUAACAACGGAACCAACAAACAACGAAAUUUCGAAGGCACAAACAUUCUACAAUUGAAGGAAAGAAUUACUGAGUUCAAUAACUCGAAGGACGAAGAAAAGGGAAAGUCAUCGAAGCAUAAAGAACUAUAUCUCCUAGACUGGGCACCCGCCUAGACUCAACAACUUCAUAAAAGAGAAGAGGGCGAACGAAAUCAAGUGGAAGUAACCUACUUCGCCCAGCGGCGAAAUGCAGUGAGAAGCUACGAAGAUUAGUGGACGUCCGUAAUGAUAUAGUCGUUGCAGAAUUCCGCAAUCCCCAAGCCAACUCGACAGUUCAUACUAGCGGAAAAACAGGAACUUCAAAUUCAGCACAGCGGAGCUUCAUAACAAACCAUUGACUGAAUUCUUCAAUCAACAUAAGAGCACUAACCAUCGUUACGGCAGAGAUAGUGCCCAAUUCCCUAACAGCACCAACAGUCAUCACGAAAGAGAACGACGGUGACAGCAGCGAAAAAUUCGCAGGGCAGCGCAGAAGUGUUUGGCACAACCAGAAACCGAAGAAAGAAGAAAAAGUUUGAAAUUGAAGGAAGAAAACUUUAGAUGUAAUCAUAUGAGAAAAUUAUAUAGGCAAGAUAGGGACUACAUAGUACAAUCAGACUUCUGCCAACAUGAAGAUAAUUAAAAGAAAAGUAAAUGCAAAUAUGAGCUCAGUCACUGCCAGAGGAGACUUGAUUACCCUUCUUAAGAAGUCCUGAUCAACUGGACCAUUCAAACUGAAAAGAACUUACGGUUCUGGAAAGCCCUGCUCUCCCUCCCAAUCCAAUCCUCU